GGAAUCUUGCGCAAUGGUCGAAAGACUGACGCAGCGACGCCGCGUGCGGGAGGAAGCUCUUCGGGGUGUAAACCGCUGUUGCCCGGGACGAAACGACCUUUCGAGGUCAUUGACGGUACCGGGUGAGGAAGCGCCGGCUAACUCUGUGCCCGCAGCCGCGGUAAUACAGAGGGGGCAAGCGUUGUUCGGACUCACUGGGCGUAAAGCGCACGUAGGCGGUUGGGUGCGUCGCUGCUGAAAGCGCCAGGCUUAACCUGGCGAGGCGUGGCGAUACGACCCGACUCGAGGCAGGCAGAGGGUGGCGGAAUUCCGGGUGUAGUGGUGAAAUGCGUAGAGAUCCGGAGGAACGCCUGUGGCGCAAGCGGCCACCUGGGCCUGACCUGACGCUGAGGUGCGAAAGCGUGGGGAGCGAAC
Molecule: ribosomal RNA, 414 nt
Filed under: uncultured bacterium
Lineage: Bacteria
Description: bacterial SSU rRNA
Rfam family: Bacterial small subunit ribosomal RNA
Source: RNAcentral